GGGUUGUGAGGUUAAGCGACUAAGCGUACACGGUGGAUGCCCUGGCAGUCAGAGGCGAUGAAGGACGUGCUAAUCUGCGAUAAGCGUCGGUAAGGUGAUAUGAACCGUUAUAACCGGCGAUUUCCGAAUGGGGAAACCCAGUGUGUUUCGACACACUAUCAUUAACUGAAUCCAUAGGUUAAUGAGGCGAACCGGGGGAACUGAAACAUCUAAGUACCCCGAGGAAAAGAAAUCAACCGAGAUUCCCCCAGUAGCGGCGAGCGAACGGGGAGCAGCCCAGAGCCUGAAUCAGUAUGUGUGUUAGUGGAAGCGUCUGGAAAGGCGCGCGAUACAGGGUGACAGCCCCGUACACAAAAAUGCACAUGCUGUGAGCUCGAUGAGUAGGGCGGGACACGUGGUAUCCUGUCUGAAUAUGGGGGGACCAUCCUCCAAGGCUAAAUACUCCUGACUGACCGAUAGUGAACCAGUACCGUGAGGGAAAGGCGAAAAGAACCCCGGCGAGGGGAGUGAAAAAGAACCUGAAACCGUGUACGUACAAGCAGUGGGAGCACGCUUAGGCGUGUGACUGCGUACCUUUUGUAUAAUGGGUCAGCGACUUAUAUUCUGUAGCAAGGUUAACCGAAUAGGGGAGCCGAAGGGAAACCGAGUCUUAACUGGGCGUUAAGUUGCAGGGUAUAGACCCGAAACCCGGUGAUCUAGCCAUGGGCAGGUUGAAGGUUGGGUAACACUAACUGGAGGACCGAACCGACUAAUGUUGAAAAAUUAGCGGAUGACUUGUGGCUGGGGGUGAAAGGCCAAUCAAACCGGGAGAUAGCUGGUUCUCCCCGAAAGCUAUUUAGGUAGCGCCUCGUGAAUUCAUCUCCGGGGGUAGAGCACUGUUUCGGCAAGGGGGUCAUCCCGACUUACCAACCCGAUGCAAACUGCGAAUACCGGAGAAUGUUAUCACGGGAGACACACGGCGGGUGCUAACGUCCGUCGUGAAGAGGGAAACAACCCAGACCGCCAGCUAAGGUCCCAAAGUCAUGGUUAAGUGGGAAACGAUGUGGGAAGGCCCAGACAGCCAGGAUGUUGGCUUAGAAGCAGCCAUCAUUUAAAGAAAGCGUAAUAGCUCACUGGUCGAGUCGGCCUGCGCGGAAGAUGUAACGGGGCUAAACCAUGCACCGAAGCUGCGGCAGCGACGCUGAUGCGUUGUUGGGUAGGGGAGCGUUCUGUAAGCCUGCGAAGGUGUGCUGUGAGGCAUGCUGGAGGUAUCAGAAGUGCGAAUGCUGACAUAAGUAACGAUAAAGCGGGUGAAAAGCCCGCUCGCCGGAAGACCAAGGGUUCCUGUCCAACGUUAAUCGGGCAGGGUGAGUCGACCCCUAAGGCGAGGCCGAAAGGCGUAGUCGAUGGGAAACAGGUUAAUAUUCCUGUACUUGGUGUUACUGCGAAGGGGGGACGGAGAAGGCUAUGUUGGCCGGGCGACGGUUGUCCCGGUUUAAGCGUGUAGGCUGGUUUUCCAGGCAAAUCCGGAAAAUCAAGGCUGAGGCGUGAUGACGAGGCACUACGGUGCUGAAGCAACAAAUGCCCUGCUUCCAGGAAAAGCCUCUAAGCAUCAGGUAACAUCAAAUCGUACCCCAAACCGACACAGGUGGUCAGGUAGAGAAUACCAAGGCGCUUGAGAGAACUCGGGUGAAGGAACUAGGCAAAAUGGUGCCGUAACUUCGGGAGAAGGCACGCUGAUAUGUAGGUGAAGUCCCUCGCGGAUGGAGCUGAAAUCAGUCGAAGAUACCAGCUGGCUGCAACUGUUUAUUAAAAACACAGCACUGUGCAAACACGAAAGUGGACGUAUACGGUGUGACGCCUGCCCGGUGCCGGAAGGUUAAUUGAUGGGGUUAGCGCAAGCGAAGCUCUUGAUCGAAGCCCCGGUAAACGGCGGCCGUAACUAUAACGGUCCUAAGGUAGCGAAAUUCCUUGUCGGGUAAGUUCCGACCUGCACGAAUGGCGUAAUGAUGGCCAGGCUGUCUCCACCCGAGACUCAGUGAAAUUGAACUCGCUGUGAAGAUGCAGUGUACCCGCGGCAAGACGGAAAGACCCCGUGAACCUUUACUAUAGCUUGACACUGAACAUUGAGCCUUGAUGUGUAGGAUAGGUGGGAGGCUUUGAAGUGUGGACGCCAGUCUGCAUGGAGCCGACCUUGAAAUACCACCCUUUAAUGUUUGAUGUUCUAACGUUGACCCGUAAUCCGGGUUGCGGACAGUGUCUGGUGGGUAGUUUGACUGGGGCGGUCUCCUCCUAAAGAGUAACGGAGGAGCACGAAGGUUGGCUAAUCCUGGUCGGACAUCAGGAGGUUAGUGCAAUGGCAUAAGCCAGCUUGACUGCGAGCGUGACGGCGCGAGCAGGUGCGAAAGCAGGUCAUAGUGAUCCGGUGGUUCUGAAUGGAAGGGCCAUCGCUCAACGGAUAAAAGGUACUCCGGGGAUAACAGGCUGAUACCGCCCAAGAGUUCAUAUCGACGGCGGUGUUUGGCACCUCGAUGUCGGCUCAUCACAUCCUGGGGCUGAAGUAGGUCCCAAGGGUAUGGCUGUUCGCCAUUUAAAGUGGUACGCGAGCUGGGUUUAGAACGUCGUGAGACAGUUCGGUCCCUAUCUGCCGUGGGCGCUGGAGAACUGAGGGGGGCUGCUCCUAGUACGAGAGGACCGGAGUGGACGCAUCACUGGUGUUCGGGUUGUCAUGCCAAUGGCACUGCCCGGUAGCUAAAUGCGGAAGAGAUAAGUGCUGAAAGCAUCUAAGCACGAAACUUGCCCCGAGAUGAGUUCUCCCUGACUCCUUGAGAGUCCUGAAGGAACGUUGAAGACGACGACGUUGAUAGGCCGGGUGUGUAAGCGCAGCGAUGCGUUGAGCUAACCGGUACUAAUGAACCGUGAGGCUUAACCUUACAACGCCGAAGGUGUUU
RNAcentral lists this ribosomal RNA (2930 nucleotides) under Escherichia coli O26 str. RM8426. Its description in RNAcentral is "bacterial LSU rRNA". It matches the Rfam family "Bacterial large subunit ribosomal RNA". Lineage: Bacteria; Pseudomonadati; Pseudomonadota; Gammaproteobacteria; Enterobacterales; Enterobacteriaceae. The record is from RNAcentral.